RNAcentral lists this ribosomal RNA (495 nucleotides) under uncultured bacterium. RNAcentral's name for it is "partial 16S ribosomal RNA". It matches the Rfam family "Bacterial small subunit ribosomal RNA", at positions 28 to 507 of the family's 1533-position model. The record is from RNAcentral.
GACGAACGCUGGCGGCGUGCCUAAUACAUGCAAGUAGAACGCUGAAGGAGGAGCUUGCUUCUCUGGAUGAGUUGCGAACGGGUGAGUAACGCGUAGGUAACCUGCCUGGUAGCGGGGGAUAACUAUUGGAAACGAUAGCUAAUACCGCAUAAUAGCAGUUGUUGCAUGACAACUGUUUGAAAGGUGCAAUUGCACCACUACCAGAUGGACCUGCGUUGUAUUAGCUAGUUGGUGGGGUAACGGCUCACCAAGGCGACGAUACAUAGCCGACCUGAGAGGGUGAUUGGCCACACUGGGACUGAGACACGGCCCAGACUCCUACGGGAGGCAGCAGUAGGGAAUCUUCGGCAAUGGACGGAAGUCUGACCGAGCAACGCCGCGUGAGUGAAGAAGGUUUUCGGAUCGUAAAGCUCUGUUGUAAGAGAAGAACGAGUGUGAGAGUGGAAAGUUCACACUGUGACGGUAUCUUACCAGAAAGGGACGGCUAACUACGUG